GGGCUGGUAGUUCAGCGGUAGUAAUACUCGCUUCGCAAGCGAGAGGUCGCGGGUUCAAAUCCCGCCCAGUCCA
This 73-nucleotide transfer RNA is filed under the name Nitrososphaerota archaeon. Its description in RNAcentral is "Thaumarchaeota archaeon tRNA-Ala". It matches the Rfam family "tRNA". Rfam says of the family: Transfer RNA (tRNA) molecules are approximately 80 nucleotides in length. Their secondary structure includes four short double-helical elements and three loops (D, anti-codon, and T loops). The record is from RNAcentral. Lineage: Archaea; Thermoproteati; Nitrososphaerota.